UACAGAGACUACAAGCGUUAUUCGGAUUCACUGGGCGUAAAGGGUGCGCAGGCGGUCGGGUGUGUCAGAUGUGAAAUCCCGAGGCUCAACCUCGGAACUGCGUCUGAAACUACUCGACUAGAGUACUGGAGAGGGUAACGGAAUUCACGGUGUAGCAGUGAAAUGCGUAGAUAUCGUGAGGAACACCAGAGGCGAAGGCGGUUACCUGGACAGUUACUGACGCUCAGGCACGAAAGCAUGGGGAGCAAAAGGG
RNAcentral lists this ribosomal RNA (253 nucleotides) under uncultured bacterium. RNAcentral's name for it is "partial 16S ribosomal RNA". It matches the Rfam family "Bacterial small subunit ribosomal RNA", at positions 524 to 776 of the family's 1533-position model. The record is from RNAcentral.